Molecule: long non-coding RNA, 558 nt
Filed under: Carica papaya (papaya)
Lineage: Eukaryota; Viridiplantae; Streptophyta; Magnoliopsida; Brassicales; Caricaceae
Description: long non-coding RNA (CPAP_LNC013654)
Source: RNAcentral
UUAGUUUAUAAAAGGAGAACAGAUGGCAGCAAUGUGGUAAAGAUCCUUUAAAAGAAGGAACACUUGGCUUAGAUUGUACAAGGAUUGGCGAUGGGGCUUCAAUGAGGAUUAAUAUGGGCAAUGUGGCAGAAAUCAGAAAGAAAUUAGGGUUAAAGGAGGCUCUCGAAUGUGUUAGGGUCAUUUGUGUUGGAAUGGCUAGGGUUAUCUCUCUUUCCCGAUCGUUUUAAUCAUUUUUCGUUUUGUUGAGAUUUUGCAGGAAUUUUUUGUUAUUUCCUAGUUUUGUACUUUAUAAAUACAAUGUAAAUCGUUCUUUCAACAUGGUAAGUUUUUACACAUAGGAUCGAUCAGUCAGCAACCCCGAUGUACCGGAGCACGUCGCGUGACAAGAUACGCUGACGUCAGUAUCACGCGGGAUGCCACGCGGAUGAUAUGCGUGCCUCGUGAUUGAACGGUCCAUGAUCGAUUCCGUGAGCGUGGACGGUCCGAAUUUGUUUCUUCUUUAAAUGCAAUCGAACGGUUGAGAUCAAAUCACGAUAAACAGUUCAGAUUUAUUUCCUC